RNAcentral lists this ribosomal RNA (449 nucleotides) under uncultured bacterium. RNAcentral's name for it is "SSU rRNA". It matches the Rfam family "Bacterial small subunit ribosomal RNA", at positions 26 to 518 of the family's 1533-position model. The record is from RNAcentral.
AGAGCGAACGCUGGCGGCAGGCUUAACACAUGCAAGUCGAGCGGGCGUAGCAAUACGUCAGCGGCAGACGGGUGAGUAACGCGUGGGAACGUACCUUUUGGUUCGGAACAACACAGGGAAACUUGUGCUAAUACCGGAUAAGCCCUUACGGGGAAAGAUUUAUCGCCGAAAGAUCGGCCCGCGUCUGAUUAGCUAGUUGGUGAGGUAACGGCUCACCAAGGCGACGAUCAGUAGCUGGUCUGAGAGGAUGAUCAGCCACAUUGGGACUGAGACACGGCCCAAACUCCUACGGGAGGCAGCAGUGGGGAAUAUUGGACAAUGGGCGCAAGCCUGAUCCAGCCAUGCCGCGUGAGUGAUGAAAGGCCCUAGGGUUGUAAAGCUCUUUUGUGCGGGAAGAUAAUGAACGGUACCGCAAGAAUAAGCCCGGCUAACUUCGCGCCAGCAGCCGC